AAGUAUAUAUUGACUUUAGCCCUGACUAUCCCUAAGACAUUCUGCUUAUGUUACUUUUUUAUGCAUAUGGUUUAACAAGAAAUAAUACUUUAUUCACCCGGUGCCCAGUUCAUUUCCUGUGUGUGUUGCUCUAGUGGUCUGAGUUAAUACUCUUUCCCUCUCUCCCUCAUGUGCUAAUUUAUAUAAUUAGGGAGUGAUAGAUGCCAGAAUAUUGAGACUCAUGAAAGGGGAGGGAGAAAACUGCUUAUGGCUAUCCACCAGACUAGAUACCUUAGCUACAAUGUAGAGAGAAGCAAAGCAGAAGAAGGUCCCAGAAAUCCUCAGGAAGCAAAAUCCAAAAAAGGAGUUAUGGCUAUUUGGUUUUGGUUCAGACCUGUGUGUUCCAGUGGUAUAGGGAGCCCACGUGAGGAAAUUCCCCCUACUAUCAAAUAUCAGCAACCGUUUUGUAGUUAUGAAAAGAGCUGGGAGGUUAAAUGAGCUGUCUUGAGCCACACAGCUGGUAUGUGUCAAAGGUGUCUUGAACCCAGGUCUUCCUGUCUCUAAGAUUAUCAAGAUAUUGCAGAACCACUCCCAGAGUCUAAUCAGACUCCUUAUAUGAUUCCCUCUGAUGAGAAAGUUCACAUGAAUCAUCUCUCCACAUUUGAAUGGCUGUUCAUAGUGAAAUUCAAAACCGAAUGGAACUUGCCUGUUGUGAGGUGUGCAUACGUGAUCCAAACCAUCUGGGUGCCGCAGAGGUGUGGAGCAAGGAGACUUUCAUUGGAAUGGUUAGACUAUUCCUUUCAAGGCUCUGACAUGCUCCUUAAGACUUUGUUGGCUCAGAGGACCAAGGGUUUGGACUGUUGAAGUCAUUUUCUAAUCACCUAAGUAUAAAGAGGACACAAGAGAUAAAGAGGUCUAAGGUACUUGGUUGGAGGACUGUGUUAGAAGCUUCAUUCAGCUGAAUCAACUCAAGGUAUACUCAGACUUUCCUUGUAGAAGAUCCUUCUUCCUCUAGGGUUAAGUACAUUUCCUUGAUUAAUUAUUGAAUUAUCUAUUAUUUCAAUAUCAAGCUAAAUUAUUAGGGGCCUACCCCAAAUCUGGCCCAGCCAAGAACAAGGAGUUCUCACUUGAUGGCCUCUAAAGUUCCUUCUAGU
This 1133-nucleotide long non-coding RNA is filed under the name Monodelphis domestica (gray short-tailed opossum). Its description in RNAcentral is "lncRNA (ENSMODG00000035100.2)". The record is from RNAcentral. Lineage: Eukaryota; Metazoa; Chordata; Mammalia; Didelphimorphia; Didelphidae.